This 351-nucleotide ribosomal RNA is filed under the name uncultured bacterium. RNAcentral describes it as "bacterial SSU rRNA". It matches the Rfam family "Bacterial small subunit ribosomal RNA", at positions 917 to 1267 of the family's 1533-position model. The record is from RNAcentral.
GGACCCGCACAAGUAGUGGAGCAUGUGGUUUAAUUCGAAGAUACGCGCAGAACCUUACCAACACUUGACAUGUUCGUCGCGACUUUAAGAGAUUAAAGUUUUCGGUUCGGCCGGACGAAACACAGGUGCUGCAUGGCUGUCGUCAGCUCGUGUCGUGAGAUGUUGGUUAAGUCCCGCAACGAGCGCAACCCUCACUUUUAGUUGCCAUCAUUUAGUUGGGCACUCUGAAAGAACUGCCAGUGAUAAGCUGGAGGAAGGUGGGGAUGACGUCAAGUCCUCAUGGCCCUUACGUGUUGGGCUACACACGUGCUACAAUGGCCGGUACAGAGGGCAGCCACACGCAAGGUGGAG